RNA transcript from Mus musculus (house mouse), 5333 nucleotides. It is a transcript of the gene named G-protein signalling modulator 1 (AGS3-like, C. elegans), with no coding region annotated. The transcript is spliced from 14 exons. The record is from RefSeq and is marked validated. NCBI's taxonomy places the organism in Eukaryota, Metazoa, Chordata, Mammalia, Rodentia, Muridae.
ACGGUAGGCGGGACCGCCGCAGUGGUGGCCGGUGGGCGCCUGCCCCUCCCCACCCUCCCUCCGCCUGGCGGCGGUGACAUCACAGCUCUGGCGGGAGGGGCGGCGGCACCCCAGCACAUCACUUCCUCGGCGUCUCCCGCGGACGCGCGGACAGGCGGACGGACGCGCGGACAGGCGGGCAGAUCGGCAGGCGGACGGCCGCAGAGCGGGGCGGUGCUCCUGCUCGGCGCGUCCCCGACUCAUGGCGAGCCCGGCCCCGCCCGUGGCCGAGGAGCUCCCGGGCCCGGCCUCCAGGCGCCUCUACUCCAGGAUGGAGGCCUCCUGUCUAGAGCUGGCCCUGGAAGGGGAGCGGCUGUGCAAGGCGGGGGACUUCAAGGCAGGUGUGGCUUUCUUCGAGGCUGCUGUGCAGGUGGGCACUGAGGACCUGAAGACACUGAGUGCCAUCUACAGCCAGCUGGGCAAUGCCUACUUCUACCUGAAGGAGUAUGCCCGGGCCCUGCAGUUCCACAAACAUGACUUGCUGCUGGCACGGACCAUUGGUGACCGCAUGGGGGAGGCCAAGGCUAGUGGGAACCUGGGCAACACACUCAAGGUCCUAGGCCGAUUCGAUGAGGCAAUCGUCUGCUGCCAACGACACUUGGACAUUGCCCAGGAGCAGGGGGACAAGGUUGGGGAGGCGAGAGCACUCUACAACAUUGGAAAUGUGUACCACGCCAAGGGCAAACAGCUUUCCUGGAAUGCUGCACAGGACCCCGGGCACCUGCCACCUGAUGUCCGCGAGACACUGCACAGGGCCUCUGAGUUUUAUGAGAGGAACCUGUCUUUGGUGAAGGAACUAGGCGACCGGGCGGCCCAGGGCAGGGCCUAUGGCAACCUGGGUAACACCCACUACCUACUGGGAAACUUCACGGAGGCCACAACCUUCCACAAAGAGCGCCUGGCCAUCGCCAAGGAGUUUGGGGACAAGGCAGCUGAGCGGAGGGCCUACAGCAACCUGGGCAAUGCUCACAUCUUCUUGGGGCGCUUUGAUGUGGCUGCUGAACAUUACAAGAAGACGCUGCAGCUGUCUCGGCAGCUCCGGGACCAGGCAGUGGAGGCUCAGGCUUGCUACAGCCUGGGCAACACCUACACACUGCUACAGGACUACGAGCGUGCUGCUGAGUACCACCUGCGGCACCUAGUCAUUGCCCAGGAGCUGGCUGAUAGGGUGGGAGAGGGCCGAGCAUGCUGGAGCCUGGGGAACGCCUAUGUGUCCAUGGGGAGCCCUGCACAGGCCUUGACCUUUGCCAAGAAACAUCUGCAGAUCUCCCAGGAGAUUGGAGACCGAAACGGAGAACUGACAGCCCGCAUGAAUAUUGCCCACCUGCAGCUGGCCCUGGGCCGGCUGACUAGCCCAGCAGCAGCGGAGAAGCCAGAUCUGGCUGGCUAUGAGGCACAAGGAGCAAGACCCAAACGGACACAGAGGCUGAGUGCCGAGACCUGGGACCUGCUGCGGCUCCCCCUGGACCGGGAGCAGAAUGGAGAGACCCACCACACAGGGGACUGGAGGGGUCCAGGCAGGGACUCGCUUCCCCUCCCCAUGAGGAGCAGGAAGUACCAGGAAGGUCCAGAUGCCAUUGAGAGGAGACCCCGGGAGGGUAGUCACUCUCCACUGGACAGUGCUGAUGUAAGGGUACAGGUGCCUCGUACGGUAGGUGCCUCCUGAGUUGAGGGGACAUUUGUGACCAUGACCACGAAGGCCUUUCUUCCCUCUCUGCCUAUCCAGCCUGGAAGCAAGGCAGGGCUGAGCUGGAGACUAAGGGAGGCAGAGCUGUAAACUGCUGGGCCUUCUACCUGGCCUUGUGCAUCCAGGUACUCUGAGGGCACAGAGCUCAUAACUGUUAGGUGCACCUCAGGGAGCCCUCAUAGACACUCCCAAGUCAGCCUUGCUGCAGGUAGGUUCUGUCUCUUUGUGGGACUUGAUUUCCACCUUUGUCACUAGUCUUCAGGCAACCUCUGUGUCCCAGGCCCCUUCGUUGCCUUACUGGGACCUUUGAGACCUGGCUGCCCAGGCUGAGGAGCUGAGCUACACAGCUUACUCCAGGUACACUCUCCGCACCUCAGGGGUUGCUUUUGAGGUUCCAGAGUGGCUGGGUACAGGCCCAAACUCAAGGCACCCAGGCAGGGAUACCAGUUUGGGAGUUCCUUGGCCUCAAACCUAAGAAGUGGUACAGCCAGCAACCCCAUAAUGUGCCUCAGAGUCUGAGAAGCCUCCUGGGGAGUCUCCUAAGUUGCAAAGUGGUGGCCCUGAGCUGAGGGAUGUGAGGGAUGGCUGGAGAAGGAUGGGAAGGCCCCAAGUUUGCCCACAGGGCAGGUGCUAAGGGAAAAGAGGGGGCACAUGCUCCACCCAUGGGGAAUGGCAUCAUGUGGAGGGCAUGCUGGGUGGCAGUGCACACUGUUAACCCAGUACGGAAAGGACAGCAGAGAGCUAGCAUCUGCCCAGUGUUCUGAAAGGUUUUUGCAGGGAGGUGCCACCUACUCUUCCUGGGCAUCCUGAUGGACUGCAGACCUGGUAGGAGGUUGGUGUGGCCCAGCAGGGACCCACGGCAUAGCCUGGAAGCUCAGACUUCCUGGAGGCACUCAGCUUUCCUGAAAUAGUAGGCUGAGUAGCUCAGUGGCCAGAUAAAAGACUGGUAGCCAGUGGGUGGAGGGUGGGGCCUGCCAGAGAUCCAGAGAAAGAGUCUGUAUUUAGGCUUAAGAGUCUCUGUGUAGGACACUCAAGUCCUGAGGCUCUAGGAAGUAGCAUGUAACACCCUCUCACUGCCACAGUCUCAGGUGGCCUGUGCUGCAUAAGCCUUGGUUAUUCUUAGUGCCUGGAGCCCACCCUUCCUGCCAGGGCGGCCGCCUCCAAUUCCAGUCCAGCCCACUCUACUCCUAUCACAAGGAGCUAGGAAGGGAACACAUAGUCUCUUAUCCCUGAGCUCAGAGGAAGGUUGUGGUAGAGCCAAGAGGCCACCCUGCCAAUGUCAAGGGCUACCCAGGUCAGAAUGGGAGUCAGUCUGGGGUGGCCUCAGAAGCAAACCUGAGAGAAGAGACUGGUUCUCUAGGGGCCUAGCUUUAGCUUUGGAAGGACGCCCAGGGGCCCAGGGGUUGGGUGGGAAAGGGCUUUCAAAUAAGCUGUCCACCCCCACAGCCUUUAGCAUGCCCACCCACAGGCCUCAAGGGGUGUGCUCUGUUGAGCUGGGGGAAGCCAGCUCAGUGUUUACAGAGUGAGGGUGUGUGUGUGUGUGUGUGUGUCUAUGUGCAUGCGCGCGCAUUCAAGCACUUGUGAGCUGCAGCAGCGAGGGCGGGUAUUGGGAGAGCCCAGCCUUCUCCCUAGCUCCUAUUUAAGCAUCAGGCGAAGACCGUGAGUCCCAGGAACGGUGAGGAGGCACUUGGCACUUGGGACAGGUGGUAGCAGCUGUGCCUGACACCUUGGCAUCCUGCCUGGGCUACACGUGGCCUAACACCCACACAGUUCCUGAUUGCUGCGACUGGAGGGAACCUGUGAUCCUGCUGGUAUUCCCAGGGCCCCGUCUUCUGACGAGGAGUGUUUCUUUGACCUGCUGAGUAAGUUCCAGAGCAGUCGCAUGGAUGACCAGCGCUGUCCCCUGGAGGAAGGCCAGGCUGGGGCUGCUGAGGCCACAGCUGCCCCAUCCGUGGAGGAUAGAGCAGCUCAGUCCUCCGUGACAGCUUCACCACAGACAGAGGAGUUCUUUGACCUCAUUGCCAGCUCCCAGAGCCGCCGGCUGGACGACCAGAGGGCUAGCGUAGGCAGCCUGCCUGGGCUACGCAUCACCCUCAACAAUGUGGGGCACCUCCGAGGCGACGGGGACGCCCAGGAGCCGGGGGAUGAGUUUUUCAACAUGCUUAUCAAAUACCAGUCCUCCAGGAUUGAUGACCAGCGCUGCCCACCCCCUGAUGUGCUGCCCCGUGGCCCUACCAUGCCUGAUGAGGAUUUCUUCAGCCUUAUCCAGAGGGUGCAGGCUAAGCGGAUGGAUGAGCAGCGUGUGGACCUUGCUGGGAGUCCAGAGCAAGAGGCCAGUGGGCUGCCUGAUCCCCAGCAGCAGUGUCCACCGGGUGCCAGCUAAGGCCUCGCCCCUACAGCCAGCCAUACCCUACUCUGGACUCUGUAGGCUCACGGUUGUCCACAGUGGCCAUGAUCCCCCAAUAAGCCAAAUCUUCCCAAGGCCAUGAUGGACAGCCAGCUCAGCCCCAGCCCCUUCCCACUGAGCCAGAUGGUGGGUGCACAAGGCCCCCCCAUCCCAGGUGGUGGGUGCAGGCUAGAGCUGCUAUAUGGGGGAGGGCAUGCUUCUGUCCCCAUGGAUCUCCACAGCUUCCUGCAGGCCUGCCCUGCCCUGCCCUAGGCCGGGCCUUCAGCAUGUUGGCCCCGAGCCCCGGUGCUGUCCAGAGUCUUUUCCCUCAAGCCCUGCCCUGCCAAAUGUGAAACUCUGCCAACUCUCCCAAGGCCCCCAGAGGGGCUUCAAGGACUUCUUCUGGUGGGGGCUACAGUGCUAAGGCAUCUUCUGUCCCCCAGCUGGUCCUGGGAUGGCUAUGAAGGAGGUACACUCUGAUCUGCCUCACGACCCCAGGGCAGGCACUAUCCUGGCCUGGCUGUGCCCAACCCUGCUGAGGGAGAUUGGCAGCUACAAAGUCCAGACACCCUGACCUGGUAGUCCCCAGCCUUGCACUUGGCCUUUGAGGAAAGAUGGAGCUUGCCCCUGGCAGAGGGGAGAGGCAGGUCUCCAAGCAUAGGGUCUUGUACUAGGAGUGCUGAGCUCUGGCUGGUAGUGGACGUUCAUGAGGGAUCCUCUCAACUAGAUCCUUCAGUCCUCUUAGUGAGCAUCUACCUUCUAUUACUAGGGAGAUGAUAUCUUGGCUUUCUCCCCAAGGAGGGGUCCAUAUCUUAAUUGGACACAGGGCACUGUAGUUGGGGUGGAGACUCAGCCAGAACUGCCGGGGCAUCCAUGAGACAGACCCUUCGGGACCGUGGUCCUAGUUCUUGCCUACAAGUCCUAUAGGUAGCCCUACUGGAGGGCUCUGUACAACUGUCUAACCCAGGGCCUCUUACCCAGAGGGCCAGGGCAAGGGAAACUGAGGACCCAACUUCUGAGAGGGAGAGGCAACAUCACUCUGAGAGCAGAAACAGAUACUAGAGCACAGGGUCUCGGGCGGGACAUGGUGGCCGCCCCGCAUACUUGAAUGUACAUGCGUAUUUAUUGCUUACAUGUGUUUGCCAUGUUGUUCAUGGGUCCUUUCUGACCCGAGAGGUACAUUUGUUUUGUUUUACCCAAAAAUAAAAGUCUGCCAAGUGA